CCCCCCCCCCCCCCCCCGGAAUCCUGUGUACGCGGCCAAGAUGACCACGCCGCUCGUAGCCACGUCUGGGCCAUCCGCACUAUCGUCCUCGCCUUAGAGUUCAGCAUCGGAACUAAAACCUGCCGCUCUGAAGGUGCCAGUGUUGGUGAGGGAAUUUAUCAAUGGUGGGUUCAGUACAGUAUCUGCUGCUAUGUUAUUUGCAGCCAGAGAAGAUAUAUGUUCAUGCCAUUUUCUUAACUGUGUCACUCGUUUGCAGCUAGUGUACAAACAAACAAAUUAUAGGCAUGCAUGAGUAGUGCACGGACGCAUGUUAGUGUAUCUUACCAGAGAUGGACAAAGUCUUUUUGCGUAAUUAUGCCUGAACGUGCAUGGUAAGAACAAAAUCCUGACUGAUUAUUGAUAGAGCAAGUAGAUACUCUCAUCACUGAGAAAAAUCUUGUUUAGUUGAGAGUGUUCCAUGGGAACCCUCAGUCAGUGUAGCAGCACGGACAUGUAUAAUCAACUUCUCUGCACCAGCUGAGCUAGUGUCUUACUGACUUCCAAGUCAUAAACAAUGUCAAUAAUGUUGAUAAGUGCCAGCUGCAAAUAAUCUGCAAACACCACAACAGGCUUUCCCUUGUAGCAAUGUCCUUUUAUAUUCAUAUAAUCCUUACCUAAUCAAAUUGUCGUAUCCCCGUAUGCUAGAGGACGAGUUUAGUCAGGCCAGCAACAAUGCGGAACUACAUAAUUAAAUAACCUGAUAUGAACUGUGAGCACAUGAUGAUUGUGUGGGUGCAAAUAAAUGGAAGUCGAAAUGCUUUUGGCUGCGACUUACUAUUCCUUAGCCUAUAUGCAUGUCUUAGUUAAACUUGAAAAUCAUUGUUUUCUCCUAUGAUGUUAUGUGAUUCAGUAAUAAAUUAGUAGACUCGAAUAUUUCUUGUUUUGAUUAGUCUUUUGGAAAAUAUGACCUUCAUUGAAUACUCUACUCUUUAUAUGUCGCUCAAGGGUUCCUCGUCGUAUCUUUUGUUCUUGUUUUUGUUCAAUCUGCAUUUAUAUGUUAGUCUAGUUAUUAGAUUGAUUUUAGAAUGUUCAUCCAACUUUUGUUGAUCUAAGAAACAUCUUGCAUGCUAUAGAAGUCAUAUUAGCUAAACUUGGCUUGUAGUUUUCUCUAUGAAAGUGGUUAUAUUUUGAUUUUUAUCUUUUGGUUUGCUACAGUGGAAUGCUCAUCACCUCAUAGGGAAGAUCUGAACCAAGUGAAUGCAAGGAUUUUUUGGCAAUGUCUAGCUCAAUCUCACCUUCGAGAAAAUGUAAUAUUUUUCCUCCGGAGUUAGUCUAAACUAUCCAGGUUGUAUGCUACUACUGAGAUCCCAUCAAGGAUGAUCUGAAGCACUCAAAAGAAGCGAAGGGCAGAAGAAGCUUCGUUUCUCAUUGAUGUUAUGUGUGAUCAACUAAAAUUUGGCCAUCUCGUCCAAUCUUUGUAGAACUAUGUUGUUGUGCACCUGUGCACUUGUUGGGUCUUUUUGUUGUGCACUUGCACUUGUAGCAUUAUUUUGCUGUGCACUUGUUGGACCUUGGACCUUGCUGUGUAGAGGAGUUAAUGGAUGAUGUAUUGUAUUUCAUGUGAUGUGUUACUGAAAUGAAAUAUACAAUUUAUCUGCAAUAUCGUAU
This is a long non-coding RNA of Triticum aestivum (bread wheat), 1647 nucleotides long. RefSeq lists it as uncharacterized. The transcript has 3 exons. NCBI's taxonomy places the organism in Eukaryota, Viridiplantae, Streptophyta, Magnoliopsida, Poales, Poaceae. The record is from RefSeq and is a predicted model, not a curated record.